UACAGAGGGGGCAAGCGUUGUUCGGAAUUACUGGGCGUAAAGGGCGCGUAGGCGGCCUGUUAAGUCGAACGUGAAAUCCCCGGGCUCAACCCGGGAACUGCGUCCGAUACUGGCAGGCUUGAAUCCGGGAGAGGGAUGCGGAAUUCCAGGUGUAGCGGUGAAAUGCGUAGAUAUUGGGAAGAACACCGGUGGCGAAGGCGGCCAACUGGACCACAACUGACGCUGAGGCGCGAAAGCGUGGGGAGCAAACAGG
Molecule: ribosomal RNA, 253 nt
Filed under: uncultured bacterium
Lineage: Bacteria
Description: partial 16S ribosomal RNA
Rfam family: Bacterial small subunit ribosomal RNA
Source: RNAcentral